Molecule: ribosomal RNA, 497 nt
Filed under: uncultured bacterium
Lineage: Bacteria
Description: partial 16S ribosomal RNA
Rfam family: Bacterial small subunit ribosomal RNA
Source: RNAcentral
GAUGAACGCUGGCGGCGUGCCUAAUACAUGCAAGUCGAGCGAACGGACGAGAAGCUUGCUUCUAUGAUGUUAGCGGCGGACGGGAGAGUAACACGUGGAUAACCUACCUAUAAGACUGGGAUAACUUCGGGAAACCGGAGCUUAUACCGGAUGAUAUUUUGAACCGCAUUGUUCAAAAGUGAAAGACGGUCUUGCUGUCACUUAUAGAUGGAUCCGCGCUGCAUUAGCUAGUUGGUAAGGUAAAGGCUUACCAAGGCAACGAUGCAUAGCCGACCUGAGAGGGUGAUCGGCCACACGGGAUGUGAGACAGGGUCCAGACUCCGGCGGGGGGCAACAGUAGAGAAUCUUCCGCGAUGGACGAAAGCGUAACGGAGCAACGCGGCGUAAGUCAUGAAGAAGUUCGGAUCGUUAAGCUAUGUAAUUAGUAGGGAACAUAUGUGUAUGUAACUGUGAUCAUCUUGACGGUACCUGGUCAAAAAGCCACGGCUAACUACGUG